UGCUUCCCCCCCCCCCCCCCCCCCCAGCUGCGGCCCUGCCAAUCAUCAAGGAAAACAUUGCCCAGUGAUGAAUUGGUGAAUAAUAAGAAAGAAAACAAGAAUGGGCACAUUUGUCACAGAUAUGAUGCACCAGAAGUAUUGUUUCACUUUUAAUUUUUAAUGUCUACUGAAUAUAUUUGAAAUGAUAAACUUAAUUGAGUAGUGGGUGCUAUAAGAAAAAAACCCCACCCACCAAUGUAUGUGAUAACAUUUGAAGUACAAUGUAUGUUUAAAUGAAUUUUACCUUCCAACAAUCCUGAAAAUCCAUUAAGAUAUAGAUGUUAAAUGAUAAAGUCAAUGGAUGAGACUAUAUUGUAGUAACAUUGAUGAUGUGCAAAAAUCUAUUAUUUCUAAAUAUACCUAAAUGCAAUUGAUUGGAAGCACAUCAUUUCUCAUAUUGUGGUAACAUCAAAACAGAACAGUGAAUGUCAAAAACAAUGAAAUUCAAUCGAAUGAAACAAGCAAUUAUUAAAUGAAAUUUGGACACGUUUAGUCCACAGAAACAAUUACAAAUGGCCAACAAAUACAGGUAGUAAUAGUGUAACAUUAGCAAAUUGAUGUUCUGUAAAUGCAACUGUCUAUACUAGAGUAAUAUGGAUACACAGUACACAAUACAAGUAUGAGCUUUUUAAAGAUAAUAUAUGCACAUGGUACAUUAUGUAUGUAUUGAGUUUUUGAAGGUAAUACAUGUAUAUGCAUAUGGUAUGUUAUAUGUGUAUUAGCAUGUUUAAGGCAAUACUUGAAUAUGCAAAUUAUACAAUGUCAUGUAUUAGCUUUCUAAAAGUAAUGUAUAUGCACAUGUUGCCAGUACAUUAUAGAUGCAUGUAUAUCAUUUAAGCUGGACAAAAAAUACUUAUCAACAUUUGGCAAAUUUACCAAAUUCAUUGUUUUAUUGACAUCAAAAUAAUAGUUAAAAAACAUACCCAAUGAAGAAAUUUGCAUCUGAUGAAUUUGCCAACUUUAUUUCUCAAGAUGAUGUGAAAUGCACAUAUGAUAAUGUAAAAGCCUGUACAUGUAAUGUUCAGGUGGGUGGGAAGGAAUGGACCUAUGAUAAUGUACAUGUAAUGUUCAGGUGGGUGGGAAGGAAUGGGCAUAUGAUAAUGUACAUGUAAUGUUCAGGUGGGUGGGAAGGAAUGGACCUAUGAUAAUGUACAUGUAAUGUUCAGGUGGGUGGGAAGGAAUGGACCUAUGAUAAUGUACAUGUAAUGUUCAGGUGGGUGGGAAGGAAUGGGCAUAUGAUAAUGUAAAAGCCUGUACAUGUAAUGUUCAGGUGCGUGGGAAGGAAUGGGCAUAUGAUAAUGUAAAAGCCUGUACAUGUAACAUUCAGGUGGGUGGGAAGGAAUGGGCAUAUGAUAAUGUAAAAGCCUGUACAUGUAAUGUUCAGGUGCGUGGGAAGGAAUGGGCAUAUGAUAAUGUAAAAGCCUGUACAUGUAACAUUCAGGUGGGUGGGAAGGAAUGGGCAUAUGAUAAUGUAAAAGCCUGUACAUGUAAUGUUCAGGUGCGUGGGAAGGAAUGGGCAUAUGAUAAUGUAAAAGCCUGUACAUGUAAUGUUCAGGUGGGUGGGAAGGAAUGGACCUAUGAUAAUGUACAUGUAAUGUUCAGGUGGGUGGGAAGGAAUGGGCAUAUGAUAAUGUACAUGUAAUGUUCAGGUGGGUGGGAAGGAAUGGGCAUAUGAUAAUGUACAUGUAAUGUUCAGGUGGGUGGGAAGGAAUGGACCUAUGAUAAUGUACAUGUAAUGUUCAGGUGCGUGGGAAGGAAUGGGCAUAUGAUAAUGUAAAAGCCUGUACAUGUAAUGUUCAGGUGCGUGGGAAGGAAUGGGCAUAUGAUAAUGUAAAAGCCUGUACAUGUAAUGUUCAGGUGGGUGGGAAGGAAUGGGCAUAUGAUAAUGUACAUGUAAUGUUCAGGUGGGUGGGAAGGAAUGGGCAUAUGAUAAUGUAAAAGCCUGUACAUGUAAUGUUCAGGUGCGUGGGAAGGAAUGGGCAUAUGAUAAUGUAAAAGCCUGUACAUGUAAUGUUCAGGUGGGUGGGAAGGAAUGGGCAUAUGAUAAUGUAAAAGCCUGUACAUGUAAUGUUCAGGUGGGUGGGAAGGAAUGGGCAUAUGAUAAUGUAAAAGCCUGUACAUGUAAUGUUCAGGUGCGUGGGAAGGAAUGGGCAUAUGAUAAUGUAAAAGCCUGUACAUGUAACAUUCAGGUGGGUGGGAAGGAAUGGGCAUAUGAUAAUGUAAAAGCCUGUACAUGUAAUGUUCAGGUGCGUGGGAAGGAAUGGGCAUAUGAUAAUGUAAAAGCCUGUACAUGUAAUGUUCAGGUGGGUGGGAAGGAAUGGACCUAUGAUAAUGUACAUGUAAUGUUCAGGUGGGUGGGAAGGAAUGGGCAUUACAGCUAGCAGGGCUAGCUCUGGCAGUAAACAAAUUCACCAAUUGCAAAUUUCAAAAACAAUUGGCGAAUUUUGUUUUAAUUUGGCGAAUUAAUUUCAUGAUGUUAUGAAACUGGUUCCAAAAGGUAAUUUGUGUGUAAUAUUUUAUUUUUGUUAGGCCAUUUCUUUAAGUCAACUGUCCGUGUUACUAUGUCUUUACUACAGGUCAAUGUGUACUCAGGGCUGCAAAAAGUACUUGCCCUCUCGCCAAAUGCGAGAAAAAAUUCUGUCUGACUGAGGAGGUAAAAAAUACAUCUACCAGUCCGACAGGCCACCUGUCUUUUUCGGAUGACCGUAAUGGGUUUUUCCCCAUCGAAUCCGCAUCAGUCAUGUCAGAAUUCCAAACCAUUCAAACAACCUGUUCAGAAUAUUGACGGAAUACACAAAAUGCAUGUACCACACUGACAAUAGAUGACUUCAAAUAUAUUUGUCAAAUAUAGCCUAUGUCUAUCAUUUGAAGCAUAUUGCUAAACAAUUUAAUAUAUCGUUCUAUGGGCUGGCGGACUGGUAUAAAUACUUGAAAGCUAGUACAUUUUAGUUGGUUCUUGUCUGGCGGGCUAAUAAACUGUUUUCCAUUUCUGCACCCCUGGUACUGUUUUAAAUAAAGCACAGGACUUUAAAAAGUGUCCUCCUAGAACAGUGACUAUUUAAGAGAAGUUGGACACUCAAACAGGUUUGACUGUAUGUUGUAGUUAAUAAAUCAGGGGCGGAUCAUGCUUUAGGUAAGGGGGGGGGGGCAGGGUUCCAAAACAAUAUGUAAAUGUUUAUAAUUUGAAAUUAUAAAUUUUACGUGGACAUCAGUUUAGAUCUAUGAGGUGGGUUUUUUUUAGGCAGGGGGGGGGGUCUGUGCAACUGGGAAACCCCCCAUAAUCCGCCCCUGUAAAUGAACAUUGUAUAUUAUCCAUGUACAUACAUUAUCUUUAGGUUAUAUACACAAAUGCUACAUGAUACAUGUACUAGCAGUUUGAAGCUAAUAUAUAUAUAUAUAUAUAUAUAUAUGUUCACACGGUAUAGUAUUCAGUUUUAAAAUGGUAAUAUAUGCACAUUAUACAUGUAUUACCAUUCUUAAGGCAAUUUGUGCACAGUAUACAUUUUGGACCAAAUUUAUGAAACCUGUUUUUCUUAAACCAUAGUGUUUAAGCAUUGUAAAUAUAUGUAGUUGCACACAUGUUAAGACAAAAACAGGUUUUGUAAAUUUGGUCCUAUGUGUUAUUUUUUUGAAGUCACAUAGGCACAGUACACGUUAUUACCCUUUUUGUCCGUCAUUUUACAAAAUAUUUAUCUGUGCACUAAAUACAACCAAAUUCAUUCAACAAAUAUGAUUUUAUAACCAGGGGCCUAAUUCACAAAGCUCCCUUAGGCUCUGAUAGACAACAAAGCAUCCUCUUUGCAAGUCCUUUUAGUAUUGCACUGCGAGAUCGCAAAGUUGCAAGACUUUAGUGAAUUAGCCCCAGUUUACAAAAUAAUAAUAUUAAUAAUAAGAAUCAGUGUGAUCUUCAUUUUGAUAUUAACAUAUAGCUGGUAUCUAAAUCAAUCUAUCAAUGUUUUAUCACGGGUUUCGGUUUUUUGUCUGCAAAUUUUUCAAAAUAUCAACCAAUUAUUGAAAAGAAUAAAUGAAUUCAGAUUAUGUGCAAGUACCAGCAUCGGACACAAAUUUUUGAAUAAUAUUCACAGUCAUGCUUUGACAAAUUGAAAACAAAGAACAUGAACUGUGGGAAGAUCCGCAAUGUACAAUGGAAGUAAAAAAAAAAAAAAAGUUCUCAGGGACAUAUUAUGGAAAGGGGAGGCUAUCAGGUAUAAAAAUCAAAGUACCACUUUGACUCUAUAUAUCAUAGGAUCAGUCCAUCUACCUUUGUGAGGGUGGGGUGGAAGGCAAACCAGUAUAAAAAUCCUAAAUCGAUCACUGAUUCCAGGAGCAAGUUCAGCCAGCCAUUCAUCACUAACAUUUUGCUAAACUGGUUUUUACAUUACACAUUAAAGCGAAUGGCCACUUUGGAAACCUGUGAAAAUAGUUUACAACAUUUAGCGAAAAACGGCUGGCUGAACAUAAACCAGGUAUAAUACAUCUCCACCAUCCCUGCUCCAACUACCGUUAUAUAUUUUUAAUACUGUAGUUACUUACUUAGGCAAAUUAAUGACACCUGUUACAAAGGGCACCAGUCCACAAUUUACAUUUCAAGUAUAUUCCAAAGGCAAAAGAAUGCAUGUAUUUUACCUCUGUAUUAUGGCCACCUGUUCAUAAACAAUUUAUGUAGAUCCUUGGGUACAUUUCAUACUCAUCUGGAAAAACAUCAGGCCAACUGAAUCCAAGAUAUUAGGGUUGUCACCAGCGGGACGAGGGAUUAAAAAAUACCCAAAAAGAAGAAGAGCUUUUUAAAAUUAAAAAUAGCCUUUUUGUGUAGCUGAAGAAGACUUCAUAUCACCGAUUCCUGGGCCUCAUUCUUAAUGGCCACCCUCUAGUUACUUAAGACUAGGUACAGCCCUAAGUCCUGGGCCUCAUUCUUAAUGGCCACCCUCUAGUUACUUAAGACUAGGUACAGCCCCAAGUCCUGGGCCUCAUUCUUAAUGGCCACCCUCCAGUUACUCAAGGCUAGGCACAGCCCUGUAUGUUACCGCCGGAUCUUCCCACAAGUUACAAAAGGAAAGAAUACAAAAGAAGCAAAUAAAUAAACAAACCCAGCAUACAUUAUGCUUUGGCACUAUUUUCAUUUGUAGCCUCAGCCACAUCAAAAAUCCAUUCUAACCGCAACUUCUCAAUCACACCGACAGUAGAUGGGUAAAAAUCCAUACAAAACAUGAAGAAAUAAAAGAGUAAUAAAACUAAAA
Gigantopelta aegis is the source of this 5276-nucleotide long non-coding RNA. RefSeq lists it as uncharacterized. The record is from RefSeq and is a predicted model, not a curated record. NCBI's taxonomy places the organism in Eukaryota, Metazoa, Mollusca, Gastropoda, Neomphalida, Peltospiridae. The transcript is spliced from 2 exons.